Molecule: ribosomal RNA, 398 nt
Filed under: Escherichia coli
Lineage: Bacteria; Pseudomonadati; Pseudomonadota; Gammaproteobacteria; Enterobacterales; Enterobacteriaceae
Description: partial 23S ribosomal RNA
Rfam family: Bacterial large subunit ribosomal RNA
Source: RNAcentral
GUGUGCUGUGAGGCAUGCUGGAGGUAUCAGAAGUGCGAAUGCUGACAUAAGUAACGAUAAAGCGGGUGAAAAGCCCGCUCGCCGGAAGACCAAGGGUUCCUGUCCAACGUUAAUCGGGGCAGGGUGAGUCGACCCCUAAGGCGAGGCCGAAAGGCGUAGUCGAUGGGAAACAGGUUAAUAUUCCUGUACUUGGUGUUACUGCGAAGGGGGGACGGAGAAGGCUAUGUUGGCCGGGCGACGGUUGUCCCGGUUUAAGCGUGUAGGCUGGUUUUCCAGGCAAAUCCGGAAAAUCAAGGCUGAGGCGUGAUGACGAGGCACUACGGUGCUGAAGCAACAAAUGCCCUGCUUCCAGGAAAAGCCUCUAAGCAUCAGGUAACAUCAAAUCGUACCCCAAACCG